RNAcentral lists this ribosomal RNA (479 nucleotides) under uncultured bacterium. RNAcentral's name for it is "partial 16S ribosomal RNA". It matches the Rfam family "Bacterial small subunit ribosomal RNA", at positions 28 to 507 of the family's 1533-position model. The record is from RNAcentral.
GAUGAACGCUAGCGGGAGGCCUAACACAUGCAAGCCGAGCGGUAUUGUUUCUUCGGCAAUGAGGGAGCGGCGUACGGGUGCGUAACACGUGUGCAACCUGCCUUUAUCUGGGGGAUAGCCUUUCGAAAGGAAGAUUAAUACUCCAUAAUAUAUUGAACGGCAUCGUUUAAUAUUGAAAGCUCCGGCGGAUAGAGAUGGGCACGCGCAAGAUUAGCUAGUUGGUGAGGUAACGGCUCACCAAGGCGAUGAUCUUUAGGGGGCCUGAGAGGGUGAUCCCCCACACUGGUACUGAGACACGGACCAGACUCCUACGGGAGGCAGCAGUGAGGAAUAUUGGUCAAUGGGUGCAAGCCUGAACCAGCCAUCCCGCGUGAAGGACGACUGCCCUAUGGGUUGUAAACUUCUUUUGUAUAGGGAUAAACCUACCCUCGAGAGGGUAGCUGAAGGUACUAUACGAAUAAGCACCGGCUAACUCCGUG